Molecule: transfer RNA, 85 nt
Filed under: Felis catus (domestic cat)
Lineage: Eukaryota; Metazoa; Chordata; Mammalia; Carnivora; Felidae
Rfam family: tRNA
About the family: Transfer RNA (tRNA) molecules are approximately 80 nucleotides in length.
Source: Rfam by way of RNAcentral
GCCUGGGUAGCUCAGUGGGUUGAGCGUCCGACUUCAGCUCAGGUCAUGAUCUCACAGUUGGUGGGUUCGAGCCCCGUGUCAGGCU